This is an RNA transcript of Frieseomelitta varia, 3285 nucleotides long. It is a transcript of the gene named ribonuclease Z, mitochondrial, with no coding region annotated. The transcript is spliced from 8 exons. The record is from RefSeq and is a predicted model, not a curated record. Lineage: Eukaryota; Metazoa; Arthropoda; Insecta; Hymenoptera; Apidae.
UAAUGAAAAAAUUUUAUUGUUUCUUUUCGACUCAUUUUUUCACAUAAAAUCACCUACUCGGUUGUAACACCAGUUACGGGAUAUUCUGUGUAAGAAUGCAAAUCCAGUAUUAGUGAAUGAAAGAGGUGAAUAGGUGAACUCUCUGCCGUACAAUGUGAUUGUUUCUCACUCAACUGUUAUAUAUGUAUAAUAUGUGUGAUUUUUCAUACAAAUAUGAUAAAAGUUACGUAGUAUUUAUCGUCGAUCAACGUAUCAUAAAUUAAUUGUUCCGAUCGAAACGCUAUAUAUUCAUUGAUGAAAUUAGUUUUUAAUUUGUAGUAACACGCAUAUCUAUUUAUAUAUAUGCUACGUGCAUUUAAUAGCACGUGUUAACGUCACUUUUGUUUUUUACGUAUUUUUAUUGUACAGUUAGAUUUUCAUUUUAAUAAUUAUAUUUCAAACCUACCUACAAAUACUAUUGCAACUGUUGACAAGAGUUUAUAAAUCCUGUUAUAAAAUGGUGUAAUUUUACAAUCUGAGAUAAGGCAAUAUAUAUGUAUAUUAAUACAAUUAUAUUAGUACUAUGUUUCAAUUUAGUACAUGUUUGUUCAAAUUCAUUACUAAAAAUAUUCAUAUUAUUAAAGCGCACAACAGAUUACUGAGUGAAUCUUCUGUGAUAAAUUUAGCAGUAAUGCAACAAAAAAAAGAAUUCAAGCAUUUUAAUGCAUAUUUGAAGGUGCUUGGUAGCGGAGCACUUGGAACCCCACAGUGUGUAUUUUUUAUGACUGAUCACAGUAAUUAUAUAUUUAAUUGUGGUGAAAGCACUCAACGAUUAAGUCAAGAACAUGGCUGUAAACUAUCCAAGAUAGAAAAUAUAUUUGUGACACAUUUUUCUUGGAAAAAUAUUGGAGGUAUUCCAGGUUUACUGCUAACAGUACAAUCUAGUGGUACAACAGAAAUAAAUAUUCAUUGUCCUGAAGGAGUUCGCGAUUUUAUAGAAGCAGUUAAAUCAUUUGUAUUCUUGCCAAAACUGAAAAUUUCUUAUUUCACAAUUGAUGAAUCUGCAGAGUACAAUGAUUGUAGAAUGAAAGUUUCAUAUGUUCCUAUAACAAAAUCUACAAAAAAUAUUAAAAAGCUUUCUUCAGAUCUGGUUGAUCAAGAACAAUAUUACACAAAUGAAAAUGACAAGAGAGUUAUAAAUGAAGAAACCGACAAAGAAAAAGUUAAAGAAGGAAAGAAAUUGAAAAGCAUUCCAAAAGUAAUAUGUUAUAUUUGCACUGUUCAUUCAAGAUCUGGGAAAUUAUUAAUAGAUAAGUGCAUAAACUUUGGUGUACCACCUGGGCCACUUUUGGAUAAGUUAAAGCAAGGAAUGGAUAUUACUAAACCAGAUGGAUCUGUUGUUUAUAGUAAAGAUGUAGUGUCACCAGAUAUUCCUGAAACUACUUUCAUAGUUGUAGAAUGUCCGACAGACGAAUAUUUGGAUCCUAUAGUGAAUCAUCCUGCUUUUUUAAAAUAUCAACAAACAGAAACAGAAGCAAACGAAAAUAAAGUAUUUUGCAUAUUUCAUUGUACUUCUGACCAAAUUUUUACCAAUCAACGAUAUCAAGACUGGUUAAGAAAAUUUUCUUCAAAUACACAACAUGUAAUUGUAAAUAGUGAAAAUACUUGUAUGGGCAGUGAAGCUGUUUACAAGAACCAGUCUUUAUUAAACAUGUUACACCCUGAAAUAUUUCCUUUGUUAAGUAAAGAUCGUUUUGACAAAGAUAAAGAGACUUUAAAUGAUAAUAUCUAUCGUGCUAGAACGGGACAAGUGAUAGAGAUACGGCCAAUGCCAAAACCUUUACAGAAUGCUGAAAUUUACAAGGAUACGCAAAUAUAUAUUGACGAUCUUCUACAACUUCCUGACUUUACGACUGUUUUAAAAGAAUUAAAGGCUGUUAUUAAGGAAAAAUCAGUAGAACAUAAUUUAAAUACUAUUCCGGAUUAUCCACGAAUUGUAAUGUUAGGUACUGGCUGUAGUGUACCAAAUAAAGUUAGAAAUACAAGUGGUAUUCUUUUACGUGUUAAUAAGGAUUGUAGCAUUUUAUUGGAUUGUGGAGAAGGUACUCUUGGACAAAUUAUUAGGUUUUACGGGGUUUCGGAAGGUCUUAAUAUUUUACGUACUAUUAAGGCUAUUUAUGUAUCACACAUGCAUGCAGAUCACCAUUUAGGAUUCAUUGGUUUGUUGUCUGUAAGAAAAAAAGUUACAGAUGAAAAGUUGUACUUACUAGCGCCAAAAAUUUUAACACCUUGGUAUGAAUUUUGUGAUGAUCAGUUUAAUUCUAUCAAAGAGCAAUAUAUUUCUAUAAACAAUAACAAUCUAUACUUCCAACAUCAUAACUUAUCAUCAGUGUUAAAAUCGAUGAUUUUCAAGAAAUUAAAUGUCAAAGACAUAAGCACGAUUUAUGUCUUACACUGCAAGCAAUCAUAUGGCGUUGCCAUUACUCUUGAAGAUAACAAAAAAAUCGUUUAUAGUGGUGAUACUAUAUUUUGUCAACGUCUCAUAGACUUGGGACAAAAUUGUGAUUUAUUAAUUCACGAAGCGACUAUGGAGAAUGGUCUUGAACAAUUAGCAUACAGCAAGUCACAUUCAACGACAUCUCAAGCGAUAAAAGCUGGAAAAUCUAUGAAUGCAAAAUUUAUCUUAUUAACACAUUUCAGUCAGCGUUACUCAAAAAUUCCUUUUAUUCCAGAAGAAAAAAAUGUUGGACUUGCUUAUGAUAAUAUGGAAUUUAAAUUACCACAAUUACCACUGUUGCCUCUUUUCUAUCCGUGUAUAAAAGUAAUGUUUAGCGAAUAUAAUAAAGUACUAUCUAAAUAAGUAAUGCCUAAUUAAAACACGGAAAACCUUCUAAUACUCUGAAAAUUUUAAGUGAAAAACAUAUUUGUUAUCAACGUUACGUAUAAUAGGGUGUUUCACUUAAGACCGAACAUAUCACCACUUUUUUGUACUAGACAGUACGUGUCUCUUAUUUUUCUUUUUUUUUCUCGAUGAAGUAUGAAAAAUAACGACUAAAAAAGAACAACAUUAUAAUUCAUAAUUUUUCCGUUUCAAAUACAUCGUCACCGAAUGAACAAAGAAAAUAAGUUCACAAAUCAUAUUAACAUUAUUUCAGAAUUUCAUUAUUUUUUCAACGUUCAGAAUUAUCUCGAGAUCAUAAGUUAGAUGCAGAAUUAAAUUGAGAAUACAUUCUAACAUCUCCUACAUAAUCCAAUAGAAAAAUAUGUGAAAACAAAAAUUCGAAAGAAAUAAUCGUAAAAAAAAAU